Lemur catta (Ring-tailed lemur) is the source of this 556-nucleotide long non-coding RNA. RefSeq lists it as uncharacterized. The record is from RefSeq and is a predicted model, not a curated record. The transcript is spliced from 3 exons. Lineage: Eukaryota; Metazoa; Chordata; Mammalia; Primates; Lemuridae.
AUAUUUUAUGUAUGUUGUCGGUUCACUGCAUUCAGAGUUAAAGACAGUUAUGUGGAUCCUGCUACAUGUCGCAUCUACUUAUUAAUAAUUUUCAGCUGAUGUUUGUUCUAGUGGUCCCAGGUCUGCACUUUGCUGCUUUCUCUGAUCCUGCUGGAAGUAAGAGGUAAGCAACAGCAAAGGUUGCGUCAAGGACAGCAUGAGUCAAUGGACCUAAUUUUCUCUUUUUAUAUAAUCUUUCACAGUGCAAAAUGCAGGAUUGAGUGGCCAGCCUUUUUGCGUGCUGCUUGAGCUCUCCUGAAUGGCUGCUGAAUAUCAGAUACUUCAAAUCCAACUAACAUUCAUACAAUAAGUAGCUUGUUAGCAAUGCAAAUAUUCCGGGAGCCAUAAAAAUUAAAGGAUCAUGUCCUAGAAGAAUAGAAAGGCCAGAAAGGAAAUUCAGAGAGCUUAAGCAACGGAAGGAGAAGCUAAGAACCAACCUACAAAAGAACAGGAACUAGAAUAACUACAGCAGAAGCAUGCAUUUUUUUUUUUUUAAAGGUGAAGGCAUGACUCAGCU